Molecule: ribosomal RNA, 1415 nt
Filed under: metagenome
Description: bacterial LSU rRNA
Rfam family: Bacterial large subunit ribosomal RNA
Source: RNAcentral
UUAGAGAUUCCGUCACCACCAAAAGAGUUAAACACAGGGACACAUAUGAAGUCUCGGAGCCGGGUGUUGGUUCCGGUAGCGAUCGAGGGAAGUUAGUACCGAAGUCUGAGAUGGAAGAUGGCGAGAAAAGCUGUGUGAAUUUCUGCGGUGCCCGUACCGCAAACCGACACAGGUAGGUAGGAAGAAGAUUCUAAGGCCAACGGGAGAAGGGUUGUUAAGGAACUCGGCAAAUUGACCCGUAACUUCGGGAGAAGGGGUGCUGCAGCAAUGCAGCCGCAGAGAAUCGGCCCAAGCAACUGUUUUACCAAAAACACAGGUUUGUGCUAAAUCGAAAGAUGACGUAUACGAGCUGACGCCUGCCCGGUGCUGGAAGGUUAAGAGGAGAUGUGCAAGCAUUGAAUCGAAGCCCCAGUGAACGGCGGCCGUAACAAUAACGGUCCUAAGUAGCGAAAUUCCUUGUCAGGUAAGUUCUGACCCGCAUGAAAGGCGUAAUGAUUUGGGCACUGUCUCAACAGCCCGCCCGGCGAAAUUGUAGUACCGGUGAAGAUGCCGGUUACCCGCGACAAGACGGAAAGACCCCAUGGAGCUUUACUGUAGCCUAAUAUUGGGUUUCGAUGUUGCAUGCACAGGAUAGAUGGGACACAGGGAAGCAGGUGCUUUGGCGCUUGUGGAGUGGCCGUUGGGAUACCAUCCUUGCGAUAUUGGAAUUCUAACCUGCGCCUUUGAAUCAAGGCGGGGGACAUUGUUAGGUGGGCAGUUUGACUGGGGCGGUCGCCUCCUAAAGAGUAACGGAGGCGUUCAAAGGUUCGCUCAGCUUGAACGGAAAUCAAGCAAAAGAGUGCAAACGCAGAAGCGAGCCUAACUGCGAGACUGACGGGUCGAGCAGUAACGAAAGUUGGAGUUAGUGAUCCGGUGGUAUGUGAGUGGAAAUGCCAUCGCUCAACGGAUAAAAGUUACCCUGGGGAUAACAGGCUGAUCUCCCCCAAGAGUCCACAUCGACGGGGAGGUUUGGCACCUCGAUGUCGGCUCAUCGCAUCCUGGGGCUGUAUUCGGUCCCAAGGGUUUGGCUGUUCGCCAAUUAAAGCGGCACGCGAGCUGGGUUCAGAACGUCGUGAGACAGUUCGGUCCCUAUCUGUCGUGGGCGCAGGAUAUUUGAUGGGAGCUGUUCCUAGUACGAGAGGACCGGAGCGGACGUACCUCUGGCGCACCAGUUGUUCUGCCAAGAGCAUAGCUGGGCAACUAUGUACGGAUCGGAUAAACGCUGAAAGCAUCUAAGCGUGAAGCCGACCCAAAGAUAAGAUAUCCCAUUGUUUCAAACAAGUAAGACCCCUUGAAGACUACAAGGUUGAUAGGCACGAUGUGUAAGUGGAGCGAUCCAUUCAGCAAGCGUGUACUAAUAGGUCGAGGGCUUGAAC